Molecule: ribosomal RNA, 431 nt
Filed under: uncultured bacterium
Lineage: Bacteria
Description: partial 16S ribosomal RNA
Rfam family: Bacterial small subunit ribosomal RNA
Source: RNAcentral
AACGAACGCUGGCGGCAUGCCUAACACAUGCAAGUCGAACGAGACCUUCGGGUCUAGUGGCGCACGGGUGCGUAACGCGUGGGAACCUGCCCUUAGGUUCGGAAUAACUCCCCGAAAGGGGUGCUAAUACCGGAUAAUGUCUUCGGACCAAAGAUUUAUCGCCUUUGGAUGGGCCCGCGUUGGAUUAGCUAGUUGGUAGGGUAAAAGCCUACCAAGGCGACGAUCCAUAGCUGGUCUGAGAGGAUGAUCAGCCACACUGGGACUGAGACACGGCCCAGACUCCUACGGGGGGCAGGAGGGGGGAAAAUUGGGAAAUGGGGGAAAGCCUGAUCCAGCAAUGCCGGGUGGGUGAUGAAGGCCUUAGGGUUUUAAAGCCCUUUUACCCGGGAUGAUAAUGACAGUACCGGGAGAAAAAGCCCCGGCUAAAUCCG